This 468-nucleotide ribosomal RNA is filed under the name uncultured bacterium. RNAcentral's name for it is "partial 16S ribosomal RNA". It matches the Rfam family "Bacterial small subunit ribosomal RNA", at positions 28 to 507 of the family's 1533-position model. The record is from RNAcentral.
GACGAACGCUGGCGGCGUGCUUAACACAUGCAAGUCGAACGGAAAGGCCCUGCUUUUGUGGGGUGCUCGAGUGGCGAACGGGUGAGUAACACGUGAGUAACCUGCCCUUGACUUUGGGAUAACUUCAGGAAACUGGGGCUAAUACCGGAUAGGAGCUCCUGCUGCGUGGUGGGGGUUGGAAAGUUUCGGCGGUUGGGGAUGGACUCGCGGCUUAUCAGCUUGUUGGUGGGGUAGUGGCUUACCAAGGGUUUGACGGGUAGCCGGCCUGAGAGGGUGACCGGCGACAAUGGGACUGAGAUACGGCCCAGACUCCUACGGGAGGCAGCAGGGGGGAAUAUUGCACAAUGGGCGGAAGCCUGAGGCAGCAACGCCGCGUGCGGGAUGACGGCCUUCGGGUUGUAAACCGCUUUCGCCUGUGACGAAGCGUGAGUGACGGUAAUGGGUAAAGAAGCACCGGCUAACUACGUG